CCUACGGGAGGCAGCAGUGAGGAAUAUUGGUCAAUGGGCUGACGCCUGAACCAGCCAAGUCGCGUGAGGGAAGACUGCCCUAUGGGUUGUAAACCUCUUUUGUCAGGGAGCAACGCCGGCUACGUGUAGCCGGACUGAGAGUACCUGAAGAAAAAGCAUCGGCUAACUCCGUGCCAGCAGUCGCGGUAAUACGGAGGAUGCGAGCGUUAUCCGGAUUGAUUGGGUUUAAAGGGUGCGUAGGCGGAAUGCCAAGUCAGCGGUAAAAUCGCGGGGCUCAACCUCGCUCCGCCGUUGAAACUGGCGUUCUUGAGUGGGCGAGAAGUAUGCGGAAUGCGUGGUGUAGCGGUGAAAUGCAUAGAUAUCACGCAGAACUCAGAUUGCGAAGGCAGCAUACCGGCGCCCAACUGACGCUGAAGCACGAAAGCGUGGGUAUCGAACAGGAUUAGAUACCCGGGUAGUC
This 460-nucleotide ribosomal RNA is filed under the name uncultured bacterium. Its description in RNAcentral is "partial 16S ribosomal RNA". It matches the Rfam family "Bacterial small subunit ribosomal RNA", at positions 338 to 795 of the family's 1533-position model. The record is from RNAcentral.